RNAcentral lists this ribosomal RNA (457 nucleotides) under uncultured Thiobacillus sp. RNAcentral's name for it is "bacterial SSU rRNA". It matches the Rfam family "Bacterial small subunit ribosomal RNA", at positions 346 to 795 of the family's 1533-position model. Lineage: Bacteria; Pseudomonadati; Pseudomonadota; Betaproteobacteria; Nitrosomonadales; Thiobacillaceae. The record is from RNAcentral.
GGGCUGCAGUGGGGAAUUUUGGACAAUGGGGGCAACCCUGAUCCAGCCAUUCCGCGUGAGUGAAGAAGGCCUUCGGGUUGUAAAGCUCUUUCAGCUGGAAAGAAACGGUGAGCUCUAACAUAGCUUGCUAAUGACGGUACCAGCAGAAGAAGCACCGGCUAACUACGUGCCAGCAGCCGCGGUAAUACGUAGGGUGCGAGCGUUAAUCGGAAUUACUGGGCGUAAAGCGUGCGCAGGCGGAUUGUUAAGCAAGAUGUGAAAUCCCCGGGCUUAACCUGGGAAUGGCAUUUUGAACUGGCAGUCUAGAGUGUGUCAGAGGGGGGUGGAAUUCCACGUGUAGCAGUGAAAUGCGUAGAGAUGUGGAGGAACACCGAUGGCGAAGGCAGCCCCCUGGGAUAACACUGACGCUCAUGUACGAAAGCGUGGGUAGCAAACAGGAUUAGAUACCCCUGUAGUC